GCACCCGCCCCGGCGGCCACCUCGGGGGUGAGGCAGCCCGGCGCGUGGGAGGGGACGGCGCGCCAUUGGCUCGCGCGCGGAACUAGAGGAGGGACCUGCGGGGCCGCCAGACUCAGGCGAGCCUAGCGGCGCAGGAGUCCGGCCCGCCCUGCCCUGCCCUGUCCUGCCCUGCCCUGCCCUGCCCUGCCCUGCCCUGCGCGGCGCGAUGUGAGGCUCCGAGGGUCGCAGGACCGCCCGGCACGGCCCGCCAGCCCCACGAGCUCGGGGACCCCACGCCGGGAACGUAAGUCCGCGCCCCGGCGCCACCGUGCGCCUCGCACUUCCCCGGCGCUGCCGGCGCUGCCUGUGCUGCGCACGCAGCCCGCGGGCUCCUCCGGCCACGGGGACAGCGGGGUCCUCGAGCGCGUAGCCGGGCGCCGGGACAGCGGGGCACUUUCGGGAGCUCCUCCAGCCGCGCAGGACGCGGUCCGCUGCCCCUUGCGCGUGUCCCCCGCGCGCUCUGCUCCCCUUGACUCGAUUUCCCUGAGCUUGGCUUCUGCCUGCGUCGCCUCCUUCCUCUGGGACUGUUUACUGGCUCUCGGGCUCGCGCACUCUGCUUCGGAGCUAGAGAGAAACACAGCUCGAAGCUGUUUCUCUCCGGCCGGCCGGGGUCUCCGGCGUCGGCGCUCGGUUCUGUCCCCUCCCCCCUUCCCCACCGCACCCCCUCUCGCCUUUGUUUCCCGGCCGGAGGAGCUCGCGGUGCAAACUUGCGAGUUCCGCGGGCUGCGCCCCCUCAGGGCCGUGGGGCGAGGCGGUGGCGGAGUUCCGGUCGCCCCCAAGUCUGGCGUGACCUGCCGGUAGAGGGGCGGGAGGCCGGCCAGGAGCAGCCGGGGGAUCAGAAAGUGGGGGAGUGUCUGGACCCCGGAGACUGUGCCCCUUAGACCAGGACCCGCACAGCGCCUGGCUCACACCCCUCUGCCGGGCUCCGGGGACGGCGAUGGCGGCCAAGCAGCCCCGCCUCUCAUGAAGAAGCACAGCCAGACGGACCUCGUGAGCCGCCUGAAGACUCCGGAAGAUCCUGGGCGUGGGCGGAGAGGAGCGAUGACGGGGAGGUGCACGCCUGCAAGGUGGGUCCCACCUAGGAGCAGAGCUGCUCCUGCAGUGGGUGCGGCGCCAGCCGCUGUCCGAGCAUUAACCUGGCUGCCCCAGAGUUGUAGAUUCAAGGAUGUACCCAUUGUACGGGUGAGGAAACAGGCUUGGAGAGGCUACGCUUGAGUUCUCAAGGCCACGCAGGCAGGUGGCAGGAACAGGCUUCGGCGCCCACAUCCGGCUGACACUGAGCUCUGGUUCUUAGUCCCCACAUUUCCAGCUUCUCUUAAACUCGGUGCCCAGAGGGAGGGAGGAGAGGGGCAGCCUCUUUCGCCAGCAGGGGGAACCCAGGCAGGUCCCAGGGAGCGCCUCUGACCCCCGUUGUGUCCACAGAUCAGCCAGGUCCUGGGCAGCUGAGAUCAAGUUUGCCGUCCGGGGAGCCCCUGGGGCUGAGGGUCUGGCAGUUCGUGUCCGCUGUGCUGUUCUCCGGCAUCGCCGUCAUGGUGAGACCCCGCCCCAGCCCCGGCACCUGGCCCUGGGCGGGACGGAUCUUACGCAGUCAGUCGGACUGGCGGGACCUGGACUCAGAACUGGACUGAGGCUGUCCGAGGGCCCCUGGCUGCCCGCACAUCUUCGUGCCCGCCGGGACCACCCUAGUCCCGUCUGUGGCCCUGAGAACCGCAGAGUCUCCUGUCCUGGGGCGGAGGGGCGGGGCGGCCCUGAGGUCCCUGGCCUGGUCCUGGGGCUCUGAAGAAGGCGCCCCCAGCCUUGCCUCCAGCCCCUCCCACUGUGCGCAGGCCCUGGCCUUUCCUGAGCAGCUCUACGAUGCUGUCUUCGACGGAGGCCGAGGUCACCAGCAAGACCCCAUCCGCCUCUGUGGGGGCGCCCUCCUCAGCAUCUCCCUGAUCAUGUGGAAUGCGGCUCUAGCACGGGCUGAGAAGGUCAUCAUCCGGUGGACGCUGCUCACGGAAGCCUGCUA
Molecule: long non-coding RNA, 2047 nt
Organism: Heterocephalus glaber (naked mole-rat)
Lineage: Eukaryota; Metazoa; Chordata; Mammalia; Rodentia; Bathyergidae
Source: Ensembl